This is a long non-coding RNA of Prunus persica (peach), 688 nucleotides long. RefSeq lists it as uncharacterized. Lineage: Eukaryota; Viridiplantae; Streptophyta; Magnoliopsida; Rosales; Rosaceae. The transcript is spliced from 2 exons. The record is from RefSeq and is a predicted model, not a curated record.
UCAUUUUCUUAUCCGGAAAGAUUUUGGGACCACGAAUGGUAUUUUUGGGUAAGUGGUACUGAGACGAAUUCGUAGACAUGCGGCAGGCUGGAAACAGAGUUGUGACGAAAAAGUUACAAGCAAAACAUUAUCAGUGGCAAAAUUAUAAUUAAUUCAAAAAGGGUUAGAGUAAAAAUUUGAUUUUUCAUUUUUACCUCACUCUCUCUCUCUCUCUUCUCCCGAUUCUCUCUCUCUCCCGCGUCGUUCCUCCCCUCCUCUUCCUACUGCAAUUUGCACAGCCACAUUCACAUGCCAUGGCCAGCCUCGAGACCGGACCCAAAACGUCCGACCAGACCUCGCCGACGUUCCCCAAUCUACCUCCAGCCAUCAGCCGCCACCAAGUCGUCGGAAAAUACGAAUUUCAGGCCGGUUUUCAUCCAAAUUUUCAGUCACUCGAUCUCUCUCCUCCGACCACUAAUCCCGACGGGUGAGUCAAUAGUCGCUCCAGGAAGCGUGCAAGUGGUGUACGAUGCUCGAACUGUGAACCUUCAUAGUUAGGAUUUGAGUAAUUUCUUCUACUCAACUGUUCUUGUAAUCUAAAUUCAGUAGAUGCUCUGUUAUCGCCCAUGGUAGAUUUUACUUGUGAGGCCGGAGGCCAUUUAGUAUGACUUGUUGAAUUAUGAAAACAUGCUGCUGGUUCGGAUUUUUA